AGUGAACGCUGGCGGUAGGCCUAACACAUGCAAGUCGAACGGCAGCACAGUAAGAGCUUGCUCUUACGGGUGGCGAGUGGCGGACGGGUGAGGAAUACAUCGGAAUCUACUUUUUCGUGGGGGAUAACGUAGGGAAACUUACGCUAAUACCGCAUACGACCUACGGGUGAAAGCAGGGGAUCUUCGGACCUUGCGCGAUUGAAUGAGCCGAUGUCGGAUUAGCUAGUUGGCGGGGUAAAGGCCCACCAAGGCGACGAUCCGUAGCUGGUCUGAGAGGAUGAUCGGCCACACUGGAGCUGGAACACGGUCCAGACUCCUACGGGAGGCAGCAGUGGGGAAUAUUGGACAAUGGGCGCGAGCCUGAUCCAGCCAUACCGCGUGGGUGACGAAGGCCUUCGGGUUGUAAAGACCUUUUGUUGGGAAAGAAAAGCAGCAGGUUAAUACCCCGCUGUUCUGACGGUACCCAAAGAAUAAGCACCGGCUAACUUCGUG
Molecule: ribosomal RNA, 492 nt
Filed under: uncultured bacterium
Lineage: Bacteria
Description: partial 16S ribosomal RNA
Rfam family: Bacterial small subunit ribosomal RNA
Source: RNAcentral